Lolium rigidum is the source of this 843-nucleotide long non-coding RNA. RefSeq lists it as uncharacterized. The record is from RefSeq and is a predicted model, not a curated record. Lineage: Eukaryota; Viridiplantae; Streptophyta; Magnoliopsida; Poales; Poaceae. The transcript is spliced from 4 exons.
GGGAGACGCAGGUUUCGUUCCGCCUCAAGCAGCAGCGGGAGCACGCGGCUGGAGCUUGUGCAGACCAGAGGAGGAAGCAGUGUGAUCCAAGGAGGGUGACCGCUGGUACCACCAAAGGUCGACACCAGCUGCAUCUCACGCAGAUCAACCAUGCCCCGAUGCGGCUGCCUUCGCCCCUUUGGGCGCGUAGGCGUCUCGGUCGGUCGCCGCCCAGGCACCAAGUCCAUCAGCAACAUCCCAGAGGAGUAACGUCUCUGUGGCCCGUCAGCAGAUACUCCAACGUUGGAGUCGCUUGAGUAGAAGCAGGCGCUAAAUCGUGCAAAGCUGAAGUCGAACACCUUGGCGUGGAGUGAGGUGGAUCUCGUGUUUAUCCUACACUUUCACCAAUUCAUCCUAAAACAGAGUCUGAAGAACCAUCAACUCAUCUUAUUUGGGGAUUUCCCCCACCGCCACCAAAUUUAGAUUGUAGUUCGUUAGAAUGCCUAAAGCCUCUAACAGGUCAACCUACAAGAGCUCCAUGUUAACGGUAGACCUUUAUUCACUCUUUCCGUUAGUUUCAGAUUGUGAUUAAGAAGUGGGAUCUGGGGUAAACAUGGCAUAGAGGCUGGUUCGUGUUAUGGGUGCAAAUGUGGCUAGUGAUCAACCUGACAAGACAGUGGUUCUUGUGCAUCUGGUACAAAUGCAUGUGAAUUUGGAUAAUGCCAAUGCCUUCUCUACAUUUAAAAGCUUGUGGAGCAAACAAAUUUCUCUUUAGCCAUCAAUUUUCAGGGACUAUGAGAUUCUCUAUGUCUAGGUCUGCAUUCUUGCUUGUGCCCCUUAAUCUCUUAUUCAGUUAUUUGUGUC